This 175-nucleotide non-coding RNA is filed under the name unclassified sequences. RNAcentral's name for it is "RT-2 RNA". It matches the Rfam family "RT-2 RNA", at positions 40 to 222 of the family's 222-position model. Rfam says of the family: Coriobacteriales (Actinobacteria), Clostridiales (Firmicutes). Downstream gene The record is from RNAcentral.
UCCAUGGGGAAUCCAAUGGAAUGAAACCAAAUGCCACGACGGGAGGGACGGACGCUUUCGUGCAUGCACACGGUCCAAGGACAAUCCGUGCGUAUCAUGUCCCAAACCCUGUGCAGCCAUGGUAAAGUCCUGGGUAUACCUGCUGUGCGUGGCAUAUCAAAAAUAGCAGAGGAUU